Molecule: ribosomal RNA, 459 nt
Filed under: uncultured Prevotella sp.
Lineage: Bacteria; Pseudomonadati; Bacteroidota; Bacteroidia; Bacteroidales; Prevotellaceae
Description: bacterial SSU rRNA
Rfam family: Bacterial small subunit ribosomal RNA
Source: RNAcentral
CCUACGGGUGGCAGCAGUGAGGAAUAUUGGUCAAUGGACGCAAGUCUGAACCAGCCAAGUAGCGUGCAGGAUGACGGCCCUCCGGGUUGUAAACUGCUUUUAGUUGGGAAUAAAAAGAGGGACGUGUCCCUCAUUGUAUGUACCUUCAGAAAAAGGACCGGCUAAUUCCGUGCCAGCAGCCGCGGUAAUACGGAAGGUCCAGGCGUUAUCCGGAUUUAUUGGGUUUAAAGGGAGCGUAGGCGGAUUAUUAAGUCAGUGGUGAAAGACGGUGGCUCAACCAUCGUUAGCCAUUGAAACUGGUAGUCUUGAGUGCAGACAGGGAUGCUGGAACUCGUGGUGUAGCGGUGAAAUGCUUAGAUAUCACGAUGAACUCCGAUCGCGAAGGCAGGUGUCCGGGCUGCAACUGACGCUGAGGCUCGAAAGUGUGGGUAUCAAACAGGAUUAGAUACCCGGGUAGUC